UACGUAGGGGGCAAGCGUUGUCCGGAUUUAUUGGGCGUAAAGAGCGUGUAGGCGGCCAUACAGGUCCGUUGUGAAAACUGGAGGCUUAACCUCCAGACGUCGAUGGAAACCGUAUGGCUAGAGUCCGGAAGAGGAGAGUGGAAUUCCUGGUGUAGCGGUGAAAUGCGCAGAUAUCAGGAAGAACACCCGUAGCGAAGGCGGCACUCUGGGCCGAUACUGACGCUGAGGAGCGAAAGCGUGGGGAGCGAACAGG
Molecule: ribosomal RNA, 253 nt
Filed under: uncultured bacterium
Lineage: Bacteria
Description: partial 16S ribosomal RNA
Rfam family: Bacterial small subunit ribosomal RNA
Source: RNAcentral